Molecule: transfer RNA, 74 nt
Filed under: Rosa chinensis
Lineage: Eukaryota; Viridiplantae; Streptophyta; Magnoliopsida; Rosales; Rosaceae
Description: tRNA RchiOBHm_Chr5g0070081
Rfam family: tRNA
About the family: Transfer RNA (tRNA) molecules are approximately 80 nucleotides in length. Their secondary structure includes four short double-helical elements and three loops (D, anti-codon, and T loops). Further hydrogen bonds mediate the characteristic L-shaped molecular structure. tRNAs have two regions of fundamental functional importance: the anti-codon, which is responsible for specific mRNA codon recognition, and the 3' end, to which the tRNAs corresponding amino acid is attached (by aminoacyl-tRNA synthetases). tRNAs cope with the degeneracy of the genetic code in two manners: having more than one tRNA (with a specific anti-codon) for a particular amino acid; and 'wobble' base-pairing, i.e. permitting non-standard base-pairing at the 3rd anti-codon position.
Source: RNAcentral
UGGUCCUAUGGUGUAGUGGUUAGCACUCUGGACUUUGAAUCCAGCGGCCCGGGUUCGACCUCCUGUAGGACCUU